AUAGGCCGGGGGUGGAAGCGCAGCGAUGCGUUGGGCUAACCGGUACGAAUGAAACGUGAGGCUUAACCUUACAACGACGAAG
Molecule: ribosomal RNA, 82 nt
Filed under: Escherichia coli
Lineage: Bacteria; Pseudomonadati; Pseudomonadota; Gammaproteobacteria; Enterobacterales; Enterobacteriaceae
Description: partial 23S ribosomal RNA
Source: RNAcentral